Molecule: long non-coding RNA, 221 nt
Organism: Trematomus bernacchii (emerald rockcod)
Lineage: Eukaryota; Metazoa; Chordata; Actinopteri; Perciformes; Nototheniidae
Exons: 3
Source: RefSeq, a predicted model, not a curated record
GGAUAUUUAAGGAGACAUGAGGUUUACAGAGAACAGACAAACAAUAUGGCGCACCGAGUACAGACAAACAACACAACACUCCGUGAUGGAGCACGCCCAGAGCUCAACAAAUUGGACUCGGACACCUUCCGUCCGGACACAGACGGAGAGAAGGUUCACAGAUGAGGUGGCAUUCGUCAUGGAUGUGCUUCUGCCAGAGGCGACAGUCCACGCCCUUGCAG